This 540-nucleotide ribosomal RNA is filed under the name Triticum aestivum (bread wheat). RNAcentral describes it as "partial small subunit ribosomal RNA". Lineage: Eukaryota; Viridiplantae; Streptophyta; Magnoliopsida; Poales; Poaceae. The record is from RNAcentral.
AUGAUUUUCUGUCAACCCGACGAACAAGACUUGCAACCUGUGCUCACCAUUUUGGAGUUACUACUUUCAUUCUUUAAGAAGACCAAUCAUAAACCCAACAGAUCAUGUUCUACACGUAAGUGCUUCCAACUUCCAAGUAUGAUGUUAUUGUUCAUCGUCAGCGGUGCCUUUGAUGCUUUUGUUUUUCUAUGUAGGGAUGAUGUGACUGAAGGGCAGUUCGCCCAAGUUCCAAUAUAUGAAUUGGAUGCCAUUGGGAAGCCAAAGGCUUGUGCAUCUUUGCAGGAGGAUUAUCAGCCCCCUGUGACAUUUGUGGUUGUCCAGAAAAGGCAUCACACAAGGCUCUUCUCUGAGGUGCAUGGAAAAGAGACUGAGAAAAGUGGAAACAUCGUUCCUGGAACCAUGGUUGACACCAACAUAUGCCAUCCCACUGAGCUUGAUUUCUACCUAUGUAGCCAUGCUGGGAUUCAGGGCCCAAGCAUACCAACUCAAUACCAUGUCCUCUUCAAUGAGAACCGUUUCACUUCUGAUGGGCUGCAAUAG